GUCAUGUCCCCAAGUUCUCAGAGAUGUUUAUGCAGGGGGAUCUCCACUUAAGGGGGUUGAUAGACCUCGAGGGAGGACAUCAAUGGAGGCAUAGCCAGUGCCCCCACAAGGAAUCAUCCACCUCUAGGAUAUUGCACUGGGGACGUCCGAGAGGCCACCUGGCCAUUGGGUAAGGAGCAUCCCCUUGGAGAAGAGGAAGGCCCCCCUCUAGAGCAUAGCACCAAUGCAACCUCCGAUGACCACCACUCUAGCUCCUUUGCUAGAAUGGCAGAUAUUUCCAACGCCUCCCAUGCUAAAAUUUGUGCCAUUAUGUUUUCUUGAGAUGCCUGGUGGCUAAUCAAGUGGUAGUAAAUCUCUCCAGCUGGAGAAGAAUGCUGACCGUCCUAUGGCAAGGGAGGAAAUGGUGCUCUUAUAUUAUGAAGAUCUUAGAUUGACACCAACUCCAGGCCGUAAGGGCCUAAUUUAUAAAGGCAAAAUUAAAUGCUCCUAAUUACUCCCCAUUGAUCGUGCAACAGAUGCCACCAUGGGAAUAGCCUCGAAGGCUGUGCCUUGCGACAGUCUGACUUUUGACCAUCUGUCUUGACGAAAUGUUAUUAUCGGAUAGCAAAAAUAUUGAAUGCUAUGUUUUCCUAGGCCUAAGGAUCUGACUUUUCUCAAAAGACCUCCAAUUCACUCGAGACCUCAAAUAUCAGGUUCAACGAAUCCCUGGCAUAAUGAUAGGGGCUAACCCUAUGGAGACCCCAUGCAACAACAAGGGCUAACCCUCCAGAGACCCCACUUGCCGCUUACCACGAAUGGGUCAAGCAACAGCUCGGACUCACUUCGGCAUCAAGUCUAUAAAUGGGGUCGGUGCGGCAAGAGAUGAUAAUGAGAGAGUUUUUGCUGAC
This 887-nucleotide long non-coding RNA is filed under the name Elaeis guineensis (African oil palm). RNAcentral describes it as "long non-coding RNA (EGUI_LNC051849)". Lineage: Eukaryota; Viridiplantae; Streptophyta; Magnoliopsida; Arecales; Arecaceae. The record is from RNAcentral.